RNAcentral lists this ribosomal RNA (69 nucleotides) under Escherichia coli. Lineage: Bacteria; Pseudomonadati; Pseudomonadota; Gammaproteobacteria; Enterobacterales; Enterobacteriaceae. The record is from RNAcentral. RNAcentral also lists the same sequence under 344 other names.
CCUGGCGGCAGUAGCGCGGUGGUCCCACCUGACCCCAUGCCGAACUCAGAAGUGAAACGCCGUAGCGCC